This is a long non-coding RNA of Ceratina calcarata, 1002 nucleotides long. RefSeq lists it as uncharacterized. The record is from RefSeq and is a predicted model, not a curated record. NCBI's taxonomy places the organism in Eukaryota, Metazoa, Arthropoda, Insecta, Hymenoptera, Apidae. The transcript is spliced from 4 exons.
CAUAACCAUGAAUCAUCUUUGAGAGAUAGAAGGACAGCUUGGAUUCCGCGUUGCCAACCGAGGAGUGCUACCGCUCUUUCAAGUCACAAACGCAUUGCGUGUACGUGCGGUGCGCCUAAUCGACAGAUAUUUUCGGUUCUACUGGACAGACGCUCGUCUUGAAAGUAUGCAUUAAUUGAAAGGCGAAGUUGCGAAACCGGCACUCGGGUUUCAGUUUCGAGCGGAAGCAGCGAUGAACGAUAAGUAAGGAUAAACGUAAAUCACGUGGAUUGACUGUAUAGCCCCGGUAUCGAUGCGUGCGGUAUUAUUCAAAUAUGCAUGACUUCGGCCGUGCACAUUCCAUAGGUAAGAGUUGAAAUGAACGAAACUAGCAAUCCGAGUCUAACGUUAUUCUUACGCAUUCAGGUUGGCCGAGUUAUACUACUUCUAACGCGAUAAUUUCACUAAUUGGAACUUUCGACUUGGACCCGCCUGAGACUCCAGAUUCUGUUGAAAGCAUCUUGACUCUACCAAAGGUACUUUCGGUCGCACGUACAUACGUGAAUUAUCGUAAUGCGUAUACGAUUGCCAGUUUGCACGCAAUAACCGAUUUACACGAGAAACGUGCAGAGAAAGGAAGUUAGGUUUAUAUCUUAAAUUCUACAUACGUCUGUUCCAAUAAUAAAUAAUCAUUAUUGUUGAAUAAUGUAUGUAAGAAAUUGCAAAAAACUAUAGUCUAUAAAGUUUAACUUUAGAUAACUACGUUCUACUAUUACAAAUGUAAAGUCGAGAACUGUUAGUCGAAUGUUUCUACUUGUUUUGUCAGCAGUCACGUAGAAACUUUUAGUGGAUGUUGUACGAAGGAGAUUGAACAGUAAAUUGAUUAUUUACGAGAGACCUUUUCAAAGAUGUUUAAGUGCUAUAUCUGUAGACAGGGAUUAGAGGAAAUCACAAUAUGUACAGAAUACAGUGCUCCUUAAGCCUCUAUUUCAAUUUGUAGAAUCAAUAAAUUUGCUUAAGGUU